GUAGAAGCUGAGGAGUUCUAAUUAAAUAUCUUAUUUUGAUACUAGAAAGGGGAAGGUCGGAGGACGCUCUAGAACCUACUCAAAAGUCUUUAUAGAAGAGGACUUCCAUUGAACUUUUCUACUUUAUGUGGAUAGUUCUGCUCUUUUCUAAAUCUACUAUAAAGAGGAAGGAUCCCGCUCCGUCUUCUCAAAGGCUUUUGACAACUGCUUUUUUUUCUUCAUUUCUCUUUUUUUCUCUCCUUUCAGUCAAGCCCUCACCGCUCCGUGGGUUUUAGAAGUAGUCUUCUGACAAUAUCCCUAUCUUAUGGAGCCUCUUGACCUUUUCCUUUUUCUUCCUUCUCACUGAUUUUUAUACUUUCAGUGGAUAGUCGGACACCUGAACCUCUUUCAAUUUUAUAUUCACUUUCUUUCUCUCUUGUGGAAGUUUGUGCGUGGAAUCCCAUGUGAAUUAGUAAGGACCACCUUGCAAGCUUCUAACAGGGCUCCUGACUGACUGAUAGUGAAGUAGUACCGUGAGAGAAUGGUGAAAAGAACCCUUAUCAGGGAGUGAAAUAGAAGAUGAAAUCGUCAGCUUUCAAGCAGUGGGAGGAGACUAGGACUCUGACCACAUGUCUAUUGAAGAAUGUGUCGGUGACUCAUUGGCAGUGGCUUAGUUAAGGGAACCCACUGGAGCCGUAGCAAAAGCAAGUCUAAAUGGGGGCAAUUCUCAGUGCUUAUGGACCCGAACCUUUCUUUUCUAGGAUGAAGCUUGGGUGAAACUAAGUGGAGGUUUAAAUCGAUUGAUGAUGAAUAAUCAGCGGAUGAGUUAUGGUUAGGGGUAAAAUGCCACUCAAACCCAGAGCUAGCUGGUUCUCCCCGAAAUGCAUUGAGGGGAAAUAGUUGACUGGACAUUUAGAGGUAAAGCACUGUUUCGGUGCAGGCCAUAAGAGCGAUACCAAAUCGAGGCAAACUCUAAAUACUAGAUAUGAUCUCAAAAUCAUAAGGGUCAAGAUCGGCCAAUGAAAUGAUGGUGGAUAAGCUUCAUCGUCGAAAGCGGUACCAAAUCGAGGUAAACUCUGAAUACUAGAUAUGAUUGUAAAAUCACAAGGGUCAAGAUCGGCCAGUGAAACGAUGGUGGAUAAGCUUCAUCGUUGAGAGAGAAAUAGCCCGGAUCACCAGCUAAGGCCCUUAAAUAAUCGCUCAGUGAUAAAUGAGGUAAGUGUGUAGAGAUAGCCAGGAGGUUGGCCUAGAAGCAGCCACCCUUAAAAGAGUGCGUAAUAGUUCAAUGAUCGAGCGCUCUUGUAUCAAAGAUGAACGGGGCUAAGCGAUUUUUCAAAGCUACGGGGUGUCAAAAUGCUUUGGUAGACGAGCGUUUUGCCUUAUAGGGAAGCGCUUGCGAGAGCAGUGGUGGACGAAGUGGAAGCGAGAAUGUUGGCUUUUUUAAGGCAAACAUUGGUGAGAAUCCGAUGCCCUGAAAACUGCUUCAUGGAAGUUCCUCUACAAGGUUCAUCUAUGGAGGGUGAGACAAGGCUUAAGAUCAGGCCGAAAGGCAUAGUCGAUAGACAGAGGUGAAUAUUCCAGUACUACCCCUUGUUGGUCCCAAGGGACGGAGGAGGCUAGGUUAGUAGAAAGAUGGUUAUUGGUUCAAGGACAUAAGGUGCCCCUAUUUUUUAGGGUCAGAGAGGUAGAGAAAAUACCUCGAGCCAAUGUUCAAGUACGAGGCGCUAGGCCACUAAAGUCACCCAUGCCAUACUCCCAGGGAAAGCUCAAACGACCUUCAACAAAAGGGUACCUGUACCCGAAACUGACAUAGGUGGUUAGGUAGAAAACACCUAAGGGCGCAAGAUAACUAUCUCUAAGGAACUCAGCAAAAUAGCCUCGUAACUUCGGGAGAAGGGGUGCCUCAUCACAAAGAGGGUUACAGUGACCAAGCUUGGGCGACUGUUUACCAAAAACAAAGGUCUUCGCAAAGUCGAAAGACCAUGUCUGGGGGCAAACACCUACCUAGUGCCAAAAGGUCAAGGAAGUUGUGACCUGAUGACAGGAGAGCCUAAACCGAAGCCCCGAUGAAUGGCAGUUGUCACUAUAACGGUCCCAAUGAAGUGGUAGCAAAAUUCCUUAUAGGGUCAGUUCCGACCCGCACGAAAGGAGUAACGGUUUGAGCACUAUCUCUGAGAGAGGCUCAAUGAAAUAGACAUGUCUGUAAAGAUGCGAACUACAUGCACUUGGACAGAAAGACCCUAUUCAACUUACUCUUCCCUAGGAUUGGCUUUGGGCCUUUCCUGUACAGCCCACGGAACGGUGGAAGGCGAAUGAAGCUAAAUAGGAUCUAUGGGGCAUAGGCCUUCCAAAAGGUAACAGAGGCGUGCAAAGGUCUUCUUGGACCAGACGAAGAUUGGCCCUCGAGUGCAAAGUCAUAAUGGAGCUUAACUACAACACCCACUCAGUAGGGAUAAAAGUCUGCUUUAGUGAUUCGACGAUGCCGAGUGAAAGUGUUGUCACUCAACGGAUAAAAGUGACUCUAGGAAUAAGAGGCUAAUCUUCCCCAAGAGCUCAUAAGGGAAGGUUUGGCACCUCGAUGAUGACUCUUCACCACCUGGGGCUGUAGGUUGGGUUGUUCGCCUAUAAAAGCAGUACGUGAGCUGGGUUCAGAAUGUUGUAAGACAGUUUUGUUCAUAUUCGGUGUGGGCCUUAGAACAUUGAGAGGACCUUUCUCUAGUAACAGAGAACCAGAAAGGACGCACCUCAGGUAUAUCAGUUAUCAUGCCCACGGUAAAGGCUGGGUAGCCAAGUGUGGAGCGGAUAACUGUUGAAAGCAUCUAAGUAGUAAACCCACCCCAAGAUGAGUACUCUCCUAUUCCGACUUCCCAGAGACUCUGGUAGCACAGUUGAGACAGCGAUGGGUUCUCUACCCCUACGGGGAUGAAGCGAUAAAUUGUUUUGGAAUGAAAGAGAAGGUCACGACGAGAUGAGUUGUUUAUCAUCACGAUAGGUGUCAAGUGGAAGUGCAGUGAUGUAUGCAGUUGAAACAUCCUAAUAGACCGGUAGACUUGAAC
This 3035-nucleotide ribosomal RNA is filed under the name Cucumis melo (muskmelon). Its description in RNAcentral is "bacterial LSU rRNA". It matches the Rfam family "Bacterial large subunit ribosomal RNA". Lineage: Eukaryota; Viridiplantae; Streptophyta; Magnoliopsida; Cucurbitales; Cucurbitaceae. The record is from RNAcentral.